RNAcentral lists this ribosomal RNA (508 nucleotides) under uncultured bacterium. Its description in RNAcentral is "partial 16S ribosomal RNA". It matches the Rfam family "Bacterial small subunit ribosomal RNA", at positions 28 to 507 of the family's 1533-position model. The record is from RNAcentral.
GACGAACGCUGGCGGCGUGCCUAAUACAUGCAAGUCGAACGCUUCUUUCCUCCCGAGUGCUUGCUCUCAAUUGGGACGAGGGGUGGCGGACGGGUGAGUAACACGUUGGUAACCUAUCCAUCAGAGGGGGAUAACACUUGGAAACAGGUGCUAAUACCGCGUAACAGUUUAUGCCGCAUGGCAUACGCGUGCAAGUCGCUUUCGGGUGUCGUUGAUGGAUGGACCCGCGGUGCAUUAGCUAGUUGGUGAGGUAACGGCUCACCAAGGCCACGAUGCAUAGCCGACCUGAGAGGGUGAUCGGCCACACUGGAACUGAGACACGGUCCAGACUCCUACGGGAGGCAGCAGUAGGGAAUCUUCGACAAUGGGCGAAAGUCUGACCGAGCAACGCCGCGUGAGUGAAGAAGGUCUUCGGAUCGUAAAGCUCUGUUGGUAGGGAAGAACAAGAGUGUGAGUAACUGAACGUCCCCUGACGGUAGCUAAACAGAAAGCCACGGCUAACUACGUG